UGGUAGGUCUGAUCUCGCUGGGGCCUCCAAAUGUUGUAGCCAAAUCAGCGAGAAAUAAGAGGAGAUUUUGACAUAGCCAAAUUACUGGAAUUUAUU
RNAcentral lists this microRNA precursor (96 nucleotides) under Tupaia belangeri (northern tree shrew). RNAcentral's name for it is "miRNA (ENSTBEG00000019963.1)". Lineage: Eukaryota; Metazoa; Chordata; Mammalia; Scandentia; Tupaiidae. The record is from RNAcentral.